RNAcentral lists this ribosomal RNA (484 nucleotides) under uncultured bacterium. RNAcentral's name for it is "partial 16S ribosomal RNA". It matches the Rfam family "Bacterial small subunit ribosomal RNA", at positions 29 to 523 of the family's 1533-position model. The record is from RNAcentral.
AGUGAACGCUGGCGGCGUGCUUAACACAUGCAAGUCGAACGAGAACGGGUUAUAGCUUGCUAUAAUUGUCAGCUAAGUGGCGCACGGGUGAGUAAUGUAUAGGUAAUAUGCCUCUUACUAAGGGAUAACAAAUGGAAACGUUUGCUAAUACCUUAUACUCCUUAUUAACAGAAGUUAAUAAGGGAAAGAUUUAUUGGUAAGAGAUUAGCCUGUAUUGUAUCAGUUAGUUGGCGGGGUAAUGGCUUACCAAGACUAUGACACAUAACUGGUUUGAGAGGAUGAUCAGUCACACUGGAACUGAGACACGGUCCAGACUCCUACGGGAGGCAGCAGUGGGGAAUAUUGCACAAUGGACGAAAGUCUGAUGCAGCAACGCCGCGUGGAGGAUGACACAUUUCGGUGCGUAAACUCCUUUUGUAUGAGAAGAUAAUGACGGUAUUAUAUGAAUAAGCACCGGCUAACUCCGUGCCAGCCGCCGCAGUAA